This 460-nucleotide ribosomal RNA is filed under the name uncultured bacterium. RNAcentral's name for it is "partial 16S ribosomal RNA". It matches the Rfam family "Bacterial small subunit ribosomal RNA", at positions 338 to 795 of the family's 1533-position model. The record is from RNAcentral.
CCUACGGGUGGCAGCAGUGAGGAAUAUUGGUCAAUGGACGAGAGUCUGAACCAGCCAAGUAGCGUGAAGGAUGACUGCCCUAUGGGUUGUAAACUUCUUUUAUAUGGGAAUAAAAUGUUCCACGUGUGGGAUUUUGUAUGUACCAUAUGAAUAAGGAUCGGCUAACUCCGUGCCAGCAGCCGCGGUAAUACGGAGGGUCCGAGCGUUAUCCGGAUUUAUUGGGUUUAAAGGGAGCGUAGGUGGAUUGGUAAGUCAGUUGUGAAAGUUUGCGGCUCAACCGUAAAAUUGCAGUUGAAACUGGCAGUCUUGAGGACAGUAGAGGUGGGCGGAAUUCGUGGUGUAGCGGUGAAAUGCUUAGAUAUCACGAAGAACUCCGAUUGCGAAGGCAGUUCACUGGACUGCAACUGACACUGAGGCUCGAAAGUGUGGGUAUCAAACAGGAUUAGAUACCCGAGUAGUC